Molecule: ribosomal RNA, 445 nt
Filed under: uncultured Spirochaetales bacterium
Lineage: Bacteria; Pseudomonadati; Spirochaetota; Spirochaetia; Spirochaetales
Description: bacterial SSU rRNA
Rfam family: Bacterial small subunit ribosomal RNA
Source: RNAcentral
GUGGUUUAAUUCGAUGAUACGCGAGAACCUUACCUGGUCUUGACAUGCUGGGAACCUCUAAGAGAUUAGGGGGUGCCUGCUUGCAGGAGCCCAGACACAGGUGGUGCAUGGUUGUCGUCAGCUCGUGUCGUGAGAUGUUGGGUUAAGUCCCGCAACGAGCGCAACCCUUGUUGCUAGUUACCAGCACGUAAUGGUGGGAACUCUAGCGAGACUGCCGGUGACAAACCGGAGGAAGGUGGGGAUGACGUCAAAUCAUCACGCCCCUUAUGACCUGGGCUACACACGUGCUACAAUGGUCUGAACAGAGGGCUGCGAAACCGCGAGGUGAAGCUAAUCCCUUAAAACAGAUCUCAGUUCGGACUGCAGGCUGCAACUCGCCUGCAUGAAGUUGGAGUUGCUAGUAAUCGCAGAUCAGAAUGCUGCGGUGAAUGCGUUCCCGGGUCUU